AAGGAAGAGGUUUGAACCAUGAAGAGGUGUGUCCAUAUGUUGACAGCUUUAGCAGCUCUCUGAGUCAGAAGAUUGCUUAAUCUGGCACAAAAGAAAGGAUUUUCUUCUUUCUUCUUUCCCCACCCCUCCAUUUUAAAGUUCCUCAAACUGACAUUUCAUUGGCAGCGAAGGCAAAACCUGAAAGGACAUUUGCUGGCUCACAGCUGAGGGCAGAGCCAGCAGGAGGGGCUAAAAGCCCUUGUCCCCAUCCGUACUUGGGGCAUUGCUCUUUCGGGUCUCUUAGGCACCCAACCUAAAUGCUUGCAUGCCCUGUUGCCCUGGGUAGGGGCCAGGCUUUUGGAGAGAGGAGGCAAGCUGGUUAAUGAUAAGCCUGCCUUCUGAAAAGAAGCCAGGAGUUGGAAGCUUUCAUUUAUGGGUGUGCUCAAAGACAUCUAAGCCCACCCCCCAAAAAACCCUCUUUGUCACUCCAGAGGUGAUCGUCUGGCCUCUUGGCUCUCAGCAGUCUCUGUGUACCCUCAUCCGAGUGGAGCGCCCACUCACGAGCCGCUGGGGAUCUCUGAUAAAUCAGGAACAUGGGGCAAAGACGCGGCAAGAAGAGAGGAGUGUCUGCUUCCUGGCAGGGCUGUCUUCACCAAGAGCAAAUAAGGGCAAAGCACAGGAAUAUUCCAAAGUCAUUCCUCAGUCAAUGGACAUCUACUUCAUUUCCAGAUCUUGGCUACCACAAGAAAAAAAUGCUACUAUGAACAUUUUGGUGGAUAUGGAACUUUUCUUUUCACCAAUGUCCUCCUUGGAGUUUUUAUGCAGAUAAGGAGACUGAGGUUUAACGCCC
Phascolarctos cinereus (koala) is the source of this 829-nucleotide non-coding RNA. Lineage: Eukaryota; Metazoa; Chordata; Mammalia; Diprotodontia; Phascolarctidae. The record is from RefSeq and is a predicted model, not a curated record.